Molecule: non-coding RNA, 619 nt
Organism: Schizosaccharomyces pombe (fission yeast)
Lineage: Eukaryota; Fungi; Ascomycota; Schizosaccharomycetes; Schizosaccharomycetales; Schizosaccharomycetaceae
Source: the annotation of a GenBank genome assembly
UAAAUGGAUAUAGAUAGAGAGCGUACCAAAACGUCUUCUGAUCAACGGCGUUUCUGGGACGACUGGGAUCUGCCGAUUCGAAAAUCCAAAUGCUUUCACCAUCAACUCCAGUUUCAUUUCUCCAUCUCAAACCAACUAGUAAACGACCAGAGACGUUUUUAACAGUCCAAAGAUCAACAGCUAGCAAAGUGAAAAUUACAAUAAACAACAACAUACUAUUUUUAUUUGUUUAGCUCAAUUUCUUUUUCUUUUAAAUUUCUGCUAUUAAAAACUUACAAACUUGAGGUAAAGAACAUGCCCAAUAUGUAUGCCACAAUUGCACCGGUACGAAAUAAAAGAAAGAAGAAAAGAGCUACAGGAUGCGAAGACAUUUGAAACAUCUGCGGUAGCCUACUAGCAUUCCUUUCCUGCUCGGCAAUUGUCUCCGUAUUUUGAUAGUCCAUUUUCGUCAACGUGAUAUGGUUAUCAACGUAAAGGUUUCGAUCCAAAGAGGUGAACAUCUCAGCAGGGGUUUGACAGUAUGCGAAUAAGGAACCUUAACGAAGAUUCUUAUUGUGUAGCAAGCCUGGUUUUCUAAAAGAUCGUAUUCGAAAGUGAAUGUUUAGUUGUUAAUUUAAGU